RNAcentral lists this long non-coding RNA (358 nucleotides) under Phoenix dactylifera (date palm). Its description in RNAcentral is "long non-coding RNA (PDAC_LNC021928)". Lineage: Eukaryota; Viridiplantae; Streptophyta; Magnoliopsida; Arecales; Arecaceae. The record is from RNAcentral.
AUUAAGAUAUAAUCAAUUACAUAUAUUUAAAGCACUCUCGAAUAUCUAAAAUCGGAUCGAGUGGUGAUGCUUGUCGCUGAUAUCCAGAUCAUCAGCAUAAUGAGGCAGGUCAACCCAUCGCUCUAACCAAGCAGCGUUGUAGUGUUGUAUGCUCAGUCUCCGAAAAAUGCGUGUCAGGUCAUAAGAACUCUCGGAUCUCUCGCUGAAGCUUUGGCUCUAAGAGGUAUCCUGUUGUUGAUAACAUUGCGGUGGAGGAGCCCAUCCGAAUAUGCCGGCACCAAAAUCCGACUCGUAAGACCCUCCAGGCUCCGCAGGAUAGUAGCCACCGGAAGAUGACUCCGAUGCAUCAUAUCCAUAG